AGAGUUUGAUCCUGGCUCAGAGCGAACGCUGGCGGCGUGCUUAACACAUGCAAGUCGAGUGCGCGCCUGUAGCAAUACAGGUGGCGCACGGCGCACGGGUGCGUAACACGUGGGUAAUCUGCCCUUCGAUGGGGAAUAACCCCGGGAAACCGGGGCUAAUUCCGCAUAACAUUCCGAUAACUAACGUUGUUGGACUCAAAGCCGUAAGGCGUCGAAGGAGGAGCCCGCGCACGAUUAGCUAGUUGGUGAGGUAACGGCUCACCAAGGCUAUGAUCGUUAGCUGGUCUGAGAGGAUGGCCAGCCACACUGGAACUGAGACACGGUCCAGACUCCUACGGGAGGCAGCAGUGGGGAAUCUUGCACAAUGGGCGAAAGCCUGACGCAGCGACGCCGCGUGGGGGAUGAAGCUUUUCGGAGUGUACACCCCUUUCGACCCGGAA
This 440-nucleotide ribosomal RNA is filed under the name uncultured bacterium. RNAcentral describes it as "bacterial SSU rRNA". It matches the Rfam family "Bacterial small subunit ribosomal RNA", at positions 8 to 446 of the family's 1533-position model. The record is from RNAcentral.